Molecule: unclassified non-coding RNA, 375 nt
Filed under: uncultured bacterium
Lineage: Bacteria
Description: contains 16S-23S intergenic spacer region
Rfam family: Bacterial small subunit ribosomal RNA
Source: RNAcentral
UCCGAGUUAACCCUGGUAGUCCUAGCCGUAAACGGUGCUUGCUUGCUGUAAAAGGAAUCGACCCCUUUUGUGGCGAAGCUAACGCGAUAAGCAAGCCGCCUGGGAAGUACGGUCGCAAGAUUAAAACUCAAAGAAAUUGACGGGGGCCCGCACAAGCGGCGGAGCAUGUGGCUUAAUUCGAGGCAACGCGAAGAACCUUACCUGGGCUUGACAUGUACCGAAAAGCCGUAGAGAUACGGUGUCCUUCGGGGCGGUACACAGGUGGUGCAUGGUUGUCGUCAGCUCGUGUCGUGAGAUGUUGGGUUAAGUCCCGCAACGAGCGCAACCCUUGUCCUAUGUUGCCAGCGCGUAAUGGCGGGGACUCGUAGGAGACUG